UACAGAGGGGGCAAGCGUUGUUCGGAAUUACUGGGCGUAAAGGGCGCGUAGGCGGCCUGCUAAGUCGAACGUGAAAUCCCCGGGCUCAACCCGGGAACUGCGUCCGAUACUGGUGGGCUUGAAUCCGGGAGAGGGAUGUGGAAUUCCAGGUGUAGCGGUGAAAUGCGUAGAUAUCUGGAGGAACACCGGUGGCGAAGGCGACAUCCUGGACCGGUAUUGACGCUGAGGCGCGAAAGCCGGGGGAGCAAACGGG
RNAcentral lists this ribosomal RNA (253 nucleotides) under uncultured bacterium. RNAcentral describes it as "partial 16S ribosomal RNA". It matches the Rfam family "Bacterial small subunit ribosomal RNA", at positions 524 to 776 of the family's 1533-position model. The record is from RNAcentral.